UCCUGGCGCAUGAACUCUUUGCGCGUAAGCUCCAUGCCCCGCUGCAGGCCCCGCACAUCUUGGAGCACACUGUCGAGCGACGCUGCCAGAAUGCAGGGAGAGAGCAGGGUGAGACAAGGAAGGAAAACCUGAGUGGAACCAUCUGACUUGUUUAAUGGGGCUUUCCUUCUCUGGAGAUGUUGAAACAGAGGCAGGACAGCCAUCUACUAAAGAUGCUGUAGCAGUCUCCUGCACUGAGCAGGGGGCUCAACUAGAAGCCCUCCAAGUUACAACCCCUCUAGUCAGAGGUUCAGCCUGCAACACUGUAGAUAUCUGAUCUAGAGGAGGGCAAUGGAUUUGCAGGAUGGGGAAAGAGAAAAGGAGAGUUUACCCAGGAGACGGCUGCCUCUGUUUUGCCCGGUUCCCACCUGUGACUUGGAGCCCUCCAUGGAGAUGAACAUUUCACCCAGGAUAAAGUUACACCUUUGUAGGAGUUUGCUCUUAGCACAAGCAGGAUACUUGGCAGACUGACAGCCCAAAAGCAUGCAGUUUGCAAGCAAACGGUAACAUCCACACAAAACUGA
Molecule: long non-coding RNA, 563 nt
Organism: Hemicordylus capensis (graceful crag lizard)
Lineage: Eukaryota; Metazoa; Chordata; Lepidosauria; Squamata; Cordylidae
Exons: 3
Source: RefSeq, a predicted model, not a curated record